This 2993-nucleotide long non-coding RNA is filed under the name Ananas comosus (pineapple). RNAcentral's name for it is "long non-coding RNA (ACOM_LNC039740)". The record is from RNAcentral. Lineage: Eukaryota; Viridiplantae; Streptophyta; Magnoliopsida; Poales; Bromeliaceae.
GAGAUCGGGCCAAACCGGAUGCCGGGUGCCGCGGGAGGCCGAUUGCAAGUGUCGACAAGCAAUCGGAAUGCGAAAUGAGGUGGGUUGUGUUUACCGAAGCGACUUGGUUGCCCCGCAUGUCAAAGCGAAAUAUGAAAUCUUGUUGAUGCAUAUGUGUAUGUGCAUACGGGCAUAUUAACAUUGUAUAAAUGCAUGCUAGUUGGUAAUUUGCAUAUUAGUAUGUAUGCUUAGUGAAAUACAUGCAAGGGGCAUUUAGUAUUAUGAGAUUCAUGUUGACAUGUAUUAGAGAAUGUGAGCAUAUAAAUGAAUGUUAACAUGUUGUUGAUUAUAUGAGUUAUGAGAAAUUGCUAAAUGUGGACACAUGUUAGAUGACAAUGAGCAUAUUGACAUUAUGAAAAUGCAUACUACAGGAUAAUUGCAUAAUAAUGCAUUGGGAAAGUACACGCUAGUUGUAAUGUAUGUUGGUAUUGACAUGAUGCAUGUAGUUAACACUAAAAGAAUGCAUGUAAAUAACAUGAUGUAAAAGCUAGACAAAUGCUUGGUAUGGUUGCUAUAUAAUAAUUAUCGUAAAAUGCAUGAUGAAUAUGCUAUGUAAAUGCUGGAUGAUUGCAUGAAUUGGAUCGAUAACUCUAUGAUAGAGACCUUGACAUUGGACAUCUAUAUAUUAGAUCGAGUGGCACUUAACCUAGAGUCAGGAACCUAGGUUGAACAUGGAUGAUAUGAACCUAGUGUGAAUAAAUAUAGGUUGGACAUGAACCUAGUGUCAAAGAACUUAGGUUGGAAUCAUGUGUGGCAUUAAACCUAUCGUUAAAGAACAUAAGUCGGACUUGGACAAUAGUAAACAAGGGUGACAAUGAAAAUAGAGGCAUGAUUGGCAUCAAGAAAGUGGUUGUUAAACAUAGUUUAACCAUAUUGACAUUGGUCCAAGUUGACAUAGAGAGUGGCAUGAUUAAAUAGGUAGAAAACCUAUUAUGACAAUGGCAUUGUGACGAGUGGCUAUGAAUCCUCAAGUUGAGGAUUGGAUCGAUACUCACGUUACGUCUUGGCUUGAGGGAGGUAGCUCCCCCUCGGGCGGUGCGCUCCGGAGUUGGUCACCACUGGGCGUGGUAAAGUCCCCCCAGAUGACGGUCCCCAGGGAGGUUCGAGUCCCCCGUUAUUAAGGGAUUUUGGUUGUGAGUUAUUGGGGUUAACAUGGUUAACCGGUAAGAUUGGGUCAUAGCCAAAUGAAUGUACAACAAGUAUACAUUAUGAGUUAUGGAUUUGGUAUCCCAGUCGAGAGGAUUUAGGGCUGAGGUGUAUGUGAGACGUCCAUCGCCUCGAGCCUGGUUCUAGUGCGGUACUCCGCAGACGAUUGACUCAAGACCGAGUCGGGUGGUUAGCCUUGUAAAGGUAGAUGAAACUUUAUGAUUAAAACGGUGAUUGACAAGAAUCUAAGAUAGAGGAAACCUUAGAUAUCAAAUGGAUGAGCUAUGGUUAGCAGAAUUGAAAGUAGUAUCGAAUGAACUACUAGUUGGUUGCAUUGUUGCAUUAUUGCAUGAUUUGCAUAUAGUAUUGCAUUAUUACAUUUGUGAGGCAAUGCAUGGUUUUAUUCGUUGCAUAAUCAAGAUAUAUAUAUCUAUCUGUUUAUUAAACUAACCUGCAGUUGCCUCCUUUGAACCUGUUGGUCGAGCAUUUCCCUUGGGUGGCCGUACCCACUGGGAACCAUGGAGUUGGUUCUCACCCCACGUGAUUUUGGGGUGUUACAGGUUCGCACGUGAGCGGCGCGGCGGCGCGAGGCGAGGGCGUAGCUCCAUAGUUAGCACCCUACCACCGAGACCAGAGCUAGCAGUACCCCGUCGACAUAGCUUAGGGGUUAAAGAAAUGAAAAGAAUCAAGUUGUAAUAAUCAUGUUAAAUCAGAUUGUAUUUGGAAGUUAAGUGAAAGUUAAUGUAAGAACCAACUGAGAAUUGUGAUGUAAAAUGCAUGAAUAUGAAUGAAUGUAAUAAUAUAGGAUGUGUUUAUAUUGUUUGAUACCUUCCAUUAUACAAUCUUGAUUGAAAUGUGUUCCUGGUUGGAACUGCACACAUUGUAUUGAUUGCUAUGCCUGAACGUACAGGGGAGACUCUGUCCGCAGUACAGGGAAAACCCUGUCCGUUCGGCGAUCUGUUGCGGCGCCGCGACCCGGCCAAAUAGACGGGCGGUCGCGGGGCGUGACAGAUAAGAUGGUAUCAGAGUAUAAAAAAAACAUAAAAAGAAUAAUAGAAAAUAGUUUAGUUGGACCUAGGAGACCCUAGGAUAGUAAACCAUAGGAGAUUAAGGCUCGUGAGAGACGAGGACUUGUGACUUUUGGCGAAAGGUUAAUUGAUUGGGUUAUGUCAUAAACCUCUAAAACGGAUGUUAGAGGUAGACUCAAGGUGAGGUUUAUUCUCAACAGAGGGUGUUCAUGUUGGGUGCACACAACAUGAAGCCGAGUGAUGAGAGUAGACGCCUUUGCGUGACUUUCGCCCGAUUUGAGUCGGUAUUAAGUGUUUCGUGUUCGACCUAGAAGGUCGAGGAUUAAUAGGGUUGUCGCGUUUUAGGGAGUAAUAGCACCGCGUAGGCGAUCUUCUUUUAGAUCGGCGCGGGAUGGGCCAAGUGGUGUCCCUGGGCAAUUUGAGGCGAGCAGAGAUUGGGAACUUCGCGAGUUUUGGCGUCUCUCGUGAUCUUUGAGAAAUUAAUGGAAUCCUCGUCGUGUUAGAUCACUUUUGGGUCAAAUUGACCAAAGUGCGUCGAGAGAAGUAGUUGGACAAAAUCCAAUUUACAUUCCAAUGAUGUUGGAAGGGUUAGAAUUAAGUUCUAAAAGAGUUAGAAUAGUUUUAGCAUUGCUCGACGCGAAUUGGAGUAGAAGCUGUGCAAAAUUGAAGUUCUGGAACAUGUGUUACCGAUUUAACACCAGGGGUGUACCGGUAUAGCAUGGUCGUAACGAAGUGAACUCUCGAGAGCCGAGAGUUGGACUUCGUUCGGGAUCGGCUAGU